Long non-coding RNA from Lagopus muta (rock ptarmigan), 714 nucleotides. RefSeq lists it as uncharacterized. The record is from RefSeq and is a predicted model, not a curated record. The transcript has 3 exons. NCBI's taxonomy places the organism in Eukaryota, Metazoa, Chordata, Aves, Galliformes, Phasianidae.
UGAUACCUGGGGGAGAGCCCGAAGACUGAGCAUGCAGCUUCUGCUAGGUGCUGUGCAUGCAUUUCACCUCUUUUGCCUUAAUUUGAUGCGUGCAAGGUCACCAACCACCAGAGCAGGCUGCCCAGAGCCACAUCCAGCCUGGGAAGAUGGAUGUGAAGAUGGAGAUGUCCUGGAGGAGGAAAGAGACCUCCAAAGGUCUUGGGAUGAACACCCCGGUGUCUGAUGAGGCAGGAAUCAUUACCCAGGAAGGUUGAGAGUGGGGAGGACGCAGUGACAGCAGCAGAUGGGGUGGCUGUGGCUCAUCAACUGGUGAUGUGAUUUGCUAUGCCUGUGAUGCUGGGUGCUUGUGGUGCUUCUCUAAAGAAGAAAACUCUGGAUGUGUCCAUUAUUUAAAGAAGAAAAAAGUGAGCUAGAGAGGAGGGGAAUGUUUUUUAAUAUGCUUUCACUCUUUUCUUUGAGGCACCCUUUUCUUUAGCAAUGUAAUUAUUCUUAAAAUGCAGCUGACCUUUCACUUCUGCAAACCUUUGCAGUUUUGCCCUGUGAUGUUUUAGUUAACAUUCGACAUAAAGAACUGAACAGUUAGGAGAUUUCUCUUUGAUUAAAUUGCCUUUAGCCACAUGUAGGUUUGUGCAUCUACAUGUGGGGCUGCGCAGGUGCUUUCUGGCUUAAAUCCCUCUCGUAGAGGGGUGAAAAAUCAUUCAAAGUAGCAGUUAU